RNAcentral lists this ribosomal RNA (497 nucleotides) under uncultured bacterium. RNAcentral describes it as "partial 16S ribosomal RNA". It matches the Rfam family "Bacterial small subunit ribosomal RNA", at positions 28 to 507 of the family's 1533-position model. The record is from RNAcentral.
GAUGAACGCUGGCGGCGUGCCUAAUACAUGCAAGUCGAGCGGACGGACGAGAAGCUUGCUUCUCUGAUGUUAGCGGCGGACGGGUGAGUAACACGUGGAUAACCUACCUAUAAGACUGGGAUAACUUCGGGAAACCGGAGCUAAUACCGGAUAAUAUUUUGAACCGCAUGGUUCAAAAGUGAGAGACGGUCUUGCUGUCACUUCUAGAUGGAUCCGCGCUGCAUUAGCUAGUUGGUAAGGUAACGGCUUACCAAGGCAACGAUGCAUAGCCGACCUGAGAGGGUGAUCGGCCACACUGGAACUGAGACACGGUCCAGACUCCUACGGGAGGCAGCAGUAGGGAAUCUUCCGCAAUGGGCGAAAGCCUGACGGAGCAACGCCGCGUGAGUGAUGAAGGUCUUCGGAUCGUAAAACUCUGUUAUUAGGGAAGAACAUAUGUGUAAGUAACUGCGCACAUCUUGACGGUACCUAAUCAGAAAGCCACGGCUAACUACGUG